This is a non-coding RNA of Tulasnella sp. 424, 112 nucleotides long. NCBI's taxonomy places the organism in Eukaryota, Fungi, Basidiomycota, Agaricomycetes, Cantharellales, Tulasnellaceae. The record is from the annotation of a GenBank genome assembly.
GACUGUGUCGCUUAGUGGUUAGAGCAUCUCAUUGUGGUUUCCCUUACUUGACUGCGCUAGCAGAAUAGUAAAUGUUCCUGAGAAGACGGGUGUUCGAUUCACCCCACGGUCA